This is a long non-coding RNA of Sciurus carolinensis (gray squirrel), 2529 nucleotides long. RefSeq lists it as uncharacterized. The record is from RefSeq and is a predicted model, not a curated record. The transcript is spliced from 2 exons. Lineage: Eukaryota; Metazoa; Chordata; Mammalia; Rodentia; Sciuridae.
AUCGCGCGGGCCGGGAGAGGUGGGUGCUUGUCGCGCCCGAGCCGUCCUCUCUGGGUCCCGGCUCUGUCCAGCCCCCUGGACAGCUCCUCCCUGGGGGCCGGGGGAUCAUUCUCCUUACCCAAGCCCCAAGGCACGCGUUUGGGCCACGGCAUGGGAUCCGGGCUCCCUAGACGCUCCAGGGUCCCCGCCUGGGUGCUGGCGCCUUAAGUGUCUCCCUCCUCCCUUUUCACCCCACAACACGCGUUCACUUGGCUCCCUUUCACCCAGCCCCAAAUCCCCCUCCUUGUGAUCUGUGUCCUGCUUUAAUCUUGGGGUGCACGGGCACUAUAACGCUAGGUCACUUCGACCCCACGCACAGCACCUGGUAGGCACCCAGUAAUAAACGUGGAGUACUCGGAGAGGAAAACUAGGAAGGAGACCUGAGGAGCGCCCGCUCAAGCUCCCUGGACGGACGUAGGACCCAGGAGCAGGGUUUAUCUUCAGCUGCUUUGUCACUGCGAAACCUCCAGCGGAGUCCGCCAGCCAAUCUACACCAAUCCCGGGAAGGAUCUGACCCAACAAGACAAGGCAAAAGGAACAGGGCUGCCACUUUUUCAGCAGCUCUCCUUGGUUCGGUAUCCGAUUUUGAAAAUCGUAUCCUCAGCGCCCCCCAAACAUCCAAGUAGAACCAUUAACACCCCCUCAACACCUCCCAGAUGUCAGUUUUCUUUUUGACUCUAGCAUCUACCAUUUGGUAGCUCGCCAUGAAAAAAAGAAAAAAAAAAUUACCCGGGGAAAUGAGUUCCGUUGCCGAAAUUGGUUUUUGCUUGACACAAAAAUGCUAAAGUGUGGCUUAAUCUCACCCUAAACUAAAUGGCAAGUCUGUGUUAAAACACUUACUAGAUGAGAUAAACGAGUGGAUGAGGUACUCCAUUCUUAAUAUGUAGGUGUUCAUAUGCUUAAGCAUUUGAUGGCACUCAGAAAUAGAGUUGCUAGUGCACUUAAAAAACAAAAAUUAUCCAAGUCAUAAAACUGUAUUCUGUGCCUGUUAUGUAAUGGCUGUAUUGUGCAAUUAAAAUUUCCUUUAACCUUUGAAAAUAUGAAUGACUUUUGGAAUGCCUUCUCAGUCUUGAAAGCAGUUUUUCAAAUUAAUUCUUAAUAAAUUCAGCUUCUAGCACAGUCCUGGGCACAUGGUAGUUACAGUUUACUUAAUGGUGAUGGCACAUUUUUAAACACUUUACAUCACCCUAGUGAUUCAACUGUGCAAUCUGUUGCCAUCUAAUAUAAUUUAAAACCUCAUAUAAAAGCAUAUUAUUUGCAUAUACCACAGUUCAAAAUCUGCUUAAGGCAAAUUAGUAAAGGCUGCUAUUCUAUGGUGCGUCAUUAUCCAGGAUUGAUACAAAGCAAACUAGUCCAAUUAAAUGAUCAGCAUAAUUGGAGCUUGGCCCUUUGGGGUGGGAGUGUCAGAUUUCUUUUUUUGAAAAACUGUGUUAUAAAAGGUUUUCCAAAAUAUUAUAAAUGUUUCUAUUUUCUUACACAGUGUAUUGGAUUAAUUUAGCAUUUUCUUGAAAAGUCAGUAUCAGUUUCAUUAAAAGCAAUUAAAGGUUGUAGUGGACUCAAGACAUACUUUAAUUUCCUAUUCCUUCCCAAGAGUUAAGGACUUUCCCAGGAGGUACAUAAGCUAUAAUUUGCUGCAUUGAAGAAUUCUAGGAUGCUGUAACUUAAGUGAUGAUCUCUGCCUUUUGUAGUUCUUCCUCAUCACCACCCCUAACCCUUGACUGACACUUUGGUGUCUUUUAUCUGUUAACUGUAUUAUUGCAUUUAGUAUUGGCAGUUUCUAGUCUGGUAUAGACUGGUAAUACAGAUAGCCUCACUUGUCAAGAUUCUAUCUAAAGUAAAAUGAAUGGGUUUCAUAUAGGGGAAUGAAGUGCUCACCAAAAGAGUAAGGCUCAUGCACCUUGGUACAUAGACUUUGGAAUGGCUAUUUGAACUCUCAAAUGUUGAUUUUAAGAACAUUGUUGCCUCUUAACCAACUUUGAAUCAUUGAGAUUGCCCACCAAGCCAAGUAUUGGUACUGCCUUCCAACAUUAGUGUUAAAAUCCAUUGCCAUAUGUUAGAUGGCUUACCAAAGCCGACACUUAUUAAUUUAUUUGCUCAACCUCACAGAAAAAGAGUCAUUGAAAUCCUGAACUCUUUUUGGUAGUACAUUAAUUUUAAGUCAAUUUUAUAUCUCUUGCAGAGUUUUUAAUCAUGUUGAUUGUGUAGACUCUUUUGUUGUUGUUCUUUGUUUUUAAAAAAUUAAUACCUAAAUUUCCAGCCUAAGAGAAUCUUUGCAAAGAUAUUGAGACAUAUAUGUAAUAUAAGAAUGCCUAUACAGUAGUUUGUAUUUUGAAACCAACUCCCAUUUGAAUGAUUUGUGAUGUGAAAAAGAUGUCAUUCAGUUUGUACUUAAACAUGUAAGUAUUGUUAUUAGCUGAUGGUUUCUGUGGGAUCCGAUCUUUUAUUUCAGGCUCAGUAUGCCUGUCAUAAAGAUUUAGUGUGGGAAAGAUA